GACGAACGCUGGCGGCGUGCUUAACACAUGCAAGUCGAACGGUAAGGCCUUUCGUGGUCAUACGAGUGGCGAACGGGUGAGUAACACGUGAGCAACCUGCCCUUGACUUCGGACUACCAGCUGGAAACAGCUGCUAAUACCGGAUAUGACCCUGGUCCUCCUGGACUGGGGUGGAAAGCUCCGGCGGUCAGGGUUGGGCUCGCGGCCUAUCAGCUUGUUGGUGAGGUAAUGGCUCACCAAGGCUUCGACGGGUAGCCGGCCUGAGAGGGCGACCGGCCACACUGGGACUGAGAUACGGCCCAGACUCCUACGGGAGGCAGCAGUGGGGAAUAUUGCACAAUGGGCGCAAGCCUGAUGCAGCAACGCCGCGUGCGGGAUGACGGCCUUCGGGUUGUAAACCGCUUUCAGUAGGGACGAAGCCAAAAGUGACGGUACCUACAGAAGAAGGACCGGCUAACUACGUG
RNAcentral lists this ribosomal RNA (464 nucleotides) under uncultured bacterium. RNAcentral describes it as "partial 16S ribosomal RNA". It matches the Rfam family "Bacterial small subunit ribosomal RNA", at positions 28 to 507 of the family's 1533-position model. The record is from RNAcentral.